RNAcentral lists this ribosomal RNA (499 nucleotides) under uncultured bacterium. Its description in RNAcentral is "partial 16S ribosomal RNA". It matches the Rfam family "Bacterial small subunit ribosomal RNA", at positions 28 to 507 of the family's 1533-position model. The record is from RNAcentral.
GACGAACGCUGGCGGCGUGCCUAAUACAUGCAAGUCGAGCGAACUUAUUCUAGUGCUUGCACUCUAAUAACUUCGCGGCGCAGGGGUGUAAAACACGUAAAAAACCUGCCUCAUACACGGAGACAACUGUUAGACCGGAUCGCUAAUACCGUAAUACAUUGUUUCUCACAGUUCAGAAAUGUAAAACUUGCUUAUGCUCACAUUAUGAGAUAUCUUUGCGGUGCAUUAGCUAGUUGGUGGGGUAAAGGCCCACCAAGGCGACGAUGCAUAGCCGACCUGAGAGGGUGAUCGGCCACACUGGAACUGAGACACGGUCCAGACUCCUACGGGAGGCAGCAGUAGGGAAUCUUCCGCAAUGGGCGAAAGCCUGACGGAGCAACGCCGCGUGAGUGAUGAAGGACUUCGGUUCGUAAAGCUCUGUUAUUAGGGAAGAACGUAUGUGUAGGAAACAUACCUCUACGUGACGGUACCUAAUCAGAAAGCCACGGCUAACUACGUG